GAUAGUUCACCAUGGGGUGCUCUUCAGAACACAUUAUUUCAUUUCCCCCUCCUUUUUCUCAUGGGUGUGGAAUAGUCUGGCAUUGUCUGAAUGUUCUUUCCUUUGCAUUUGGUUAUCUUUCUCUUGAUGGCUUGCCAAAUUUAUUUCAGAACUGAAUCAUUAAAUUUAACCAUUGUGUGUCUUGGAGUUUGCAGUAUUUUUUUUUUCCUGGAGGUGAUGUAUGAAUUUUUUCCAUUGGAAUUUCAUUUUCCCAUGUUCGGAAGUUCUGGGCAGUUGUCUCCUAGUAUUUUCUUCAUUCAUUAUAGUGUUAAGGUUUUUCUAUCCAGUCAUAGUUUUCUGGGAGACCUAUAAUGCUUAGAAUGUCUCUACACAUCCUGUCUUUGAGAUUGAUGUUUUGCUUACAUGGGAGUUCUGAGGCUGCCUGUUUAAGCCCUUAAUCAAAAGACACAAUAUUGCAAAGAGUCUCUAGCUGGAAUUUCCUUUCUUUUCAAACAAGCAAAGUCUGAGAGGUGAUGAAGACUGAGGCUGACUCUUAACCCAGCUGUCCCCAGGGAUUGUUUAUUGUUUCAGCAGAGAGAGCCUAAAGGAAUCAGAAGAAAAUAAGAAUUGAAGCUUUGAAGAGCUAUGCUGAAGAAGCCCAGGAAGUUUCCAGAUUCUUCCAGAUGGCAUUUGCCAUAGCGAGAUGGUCCAGUUCAUGGACUUUUUCCCCAUUUCUGUUUUUUGAGAAUUAAGAGAGAGCUUGCUUGUGUGUACUCUCUUGGAAGGUGACAGUAAGAGAGGGUAGGAUGUGGAAGAGGAAUAAGUGCAAUGGCUCCAACCUGAGGGUUGCUGGCAGUUUGGAUGGGAAUCCAAAAAAUGCAUAUACAUAAGUGUUUCUACCGAAAGAAAAUGCCACUCCCCUUAUUCCUGGGAAUUCUGAAUUGGGGAAGAAUGGAAAAAAAGACAUUGCAAUGUUAUUCUUUUCAAGUGCCAUUAGUAACAGAUGUUUGCUACGGAUUCAAGAGUUUGUUGCCAAUCAAGAUACUGGGUGACUCCCUCCCAUCUAUCAAAAAAGCAUAUGUAAAGGAAAGGGAAGGAGAGAAGCAUUAUUAUAUAACACCUACUGUGUGCCACAUA
Phascolarctos cinereus (koala) is the source of this 1116-nucleotide long non-coding RNA. RefSeq lists it as uncharacterized. The record is from RefSeq and is a predicted model, not a curated record. Lineage: Eukaryota; Metazoa; Chordata; Mammalia; Diprotodontia; Phascolarctidae.